RNAcentral lists this long non-coding RNA (1185 nucleotides) under Gallus gallus (chicken). Its description in RNAcentral is "lncRNA (ENSGALG00010022112.1)". Lineage: Eukaryota; Metazoa; Chordata; Aves; Galliformes; Phasianidae. The record is from RNAcentral.
CCAAGCUGUAGGAAACAAACAUGCCGCUCAUUUCUGACACAGUUAUUGUAUAACAAGAGCCUGAUAAUCUCCAGGAAAGGCUGACACCAAGUGAGCUGCGUCCUUGCAUCAUCUUGUUUUUGCUUUAAUAGUCGUGACUCCACCUCAGAAUAUUCCUGCAGCUUCAGUUGCCAGGAGGAAUGACAUCAUGCACAUCUGUAUAUAGCUGCAAGAGGAAGGUGAAGGUCGGGGAGGAAGGCUCACACCUCCGCACUGGUGGGCUGACACCAGGCACCCACCUCCACCAGACGUGGCUGGAAAGCUGUGCCUGCAUGGAAACUCCUGGUGGGUCAGACCAUAAAUCAUAAAUCAAUUUGUUCAAAAAUUAGGCUUAGUGUUCUGUGGUUUGCUUCGGUUUUUAAGCCAGCCCUCCCUUUUCCCUUCCUUCUCCCACUCUCCAACAAAAAUCCAGGAGGUGGUUCUGAGUCGCCCAGACCAAAUGCAAACAGCCAGAACAACAAAAAAGUGAGGAUUACAGCAGCUGGAUUUACUCUUUUCUGACUUUUUUUCCUUUUAAUUAUAUUUUUUUUUUAAGAAAAAAAAUCUAUAUCCAAAUAUGUUUUCGAGUUGAAACAAAGUCAGGAUCUACUGUAUGUCUGUGUGCCCUCAAGUCUGUAGGAGCAGCUCCUCACCAGUUGCACCCAGCUGGAGGAUGGGAGCCUGGCAGGCUACCACCUUCCCUUCCCAGCAGCCAUGGGAGCCCAUGGAAAGCAGAGCAUAAAUUCAAACCAUUUAAAGAGUGAUUAAGACUUCUCCUGAUUACUGCUCUGCAUGGUAUUGAAUGGUUUGGAUGGUGGUGAUUUAUUGAAGUAAUAUAUAAUAUGCUCCGUUCGGUUAACGGUCCCCAUCAAGCACAAUCCAGAUGAAUAAAAAAGUAAAAAGAGGGAGAGAGUGUGCUGUAAGAGGAAAUCUCCUUGGAUUUAAGAGAAAUUGAAAUAUGUACAUGGUAAUCUGUGUCCAAAGCUUUUAGCACUUCAGAAAGUGCCAGUUGCUAAUACCUCUGGCUAAAGGCAGCGUUACGUGGAUGGCUGACGAUCCCAGGGCCUUCCUCCUUCCCUCCACCACUGACACCUGGCUCCUCCACCUGGCCUACCCUGCGGCAGAUGCUGGGUUUUUUGUUAAUAUCUGUUUUAUUCCAUGAUGCAG